RNAcentral lists this ribosomal RNA (403 nucleotides) under uncultured bacterium. RNAcentral's name for it is "partial 16S ribosomal RNA". It matches the Rfam family "Bacterial small subunit ribosomal RNA", at positions 30 to 526 of the family's 1533-position model. The record is from RNAcentral.
AUUGAACGCUGGCGGCAGGCCUAACACAUGCAAGUCGAGCGAGCGGCGGACGGGUGAGUAAUGUCUGGGGACUGCCCGAUAGAGGGGGAUAACUACUGGAAACGGUAGCUAAUACCGCAUACCAUCGGAUAACCCAGAUGGGAUUAGCUCGUAGGUGGGGUACUGGCUCACCUAGGCGACGAUCCCUAGCUGGUCUGAGAGGAUGAUCAGCCCCACUGGGACUGAGACACGGCCCAGACUCCUACUGAUCCAACGUGGACAAAUAUUGCACAAUGGGCGCAAGCCUGAUACAGCCAUGCCGCGUGUAUGAAGAAGACCCUAGGGUUUUAAAGCACUUUCAGUCGGGAGGCGUUACCGACAGAAGAAGCACCGGCUAACUACGUGCCAGCAGCCGCGGUAAUAC